AGUUCGGUCCCUAUCUGCCGUGGGCGUUGGAUGAUUGAAGGGAGUUGCUCCUAGUACGAGAGGACCGGAGUGAACGAACCUCUGGUGUUCGGGUUGUCACGCCAGUGGCACUGCCCGGUAGCUAAGUUCGGAAUCGAUAACCGCUGAAAGCAUCUAAGCGGGAAGCGAGCCCUGAGAUGAGUCAUCCCUGACCCCUUGAGGGUCCUAAAGGGCCGUUGGAGACCACAACGUUGAUAGGUGGGGUGUGUAAGCGCAGUGAUGUGUUGAGCUAACCCAUACUAAUUACCCGUGAGGCUUAACCAUACAACACCCAAGAAGUGUUCU
RNAcentral lists this ribosomal RNA (324 nucleotides) under Aeromonas veronii. Its description in RNAcentral is "bacterial LSU rRNA". It matches the Rfam family "Bacterial large subunit ribosomal RNA", at positions 2628 to 2925 of the family's 2925-position model. Lineage: Bacteria; Pseudomonadati; Pseudomonadota; Gammaproteobacteria; Aeromonadales; Aeromonadaceae. The record is from RNAcentral.